CCUACGGGUGGCAGCAGUGAGGAAAAUUGGUCAAUGGGCGGAAGCCUGAACCAGCCAAGUAGCGUGCAGGAUGACGGCCCUACGGGUUGUAAACUGCUUUUAUACGGGAAUAACGCGCCUUACGUGUAGGGCUUUGCAUGUACCGUAUGAAUAAGGACCGGCUAAUUCCGUGCCAGCAGCCGCGGUAAUACGGAGGGUCCGGGCGUUUUCCGGAUUUAGUGGGUUUAAAGGGAGCGUAGGCCGCAUGUCAAGCGUGCUGUGAAAUGUCCGGGCUCAACCCGGGCCUUGCAGCGCGAACUGGCGGGCUUGAGUCCGCGGAAAGCAGGCGGAAUUCGUGGUGUAGCGGUGAAAUGCUGAGAUAUGACGAAGAACCCCGAUUGCGAAGGCAGCUUGCUGCAGCGGAACUGACGCUGAUGCUCGAAAGCGCGGGUAUCGAACAGGAUUAGAUACCCUUGUAGUC
RNAcentral lists this ribosomal RNA (460 nucleotides) under uncultured bacterium. RNAcentral's name for it is "partial 16S ribosomal RNA". It matches the Rfam family "Bacterial small subunit ribosomal RNA", at positions 338 to 795 of the family's 1533-position model. The record is from RNAcentral.